GACGAAUUUUCCCAGUGAACUCCAUGUGGCCUGUGAUGUGAAGUGAAUUUCAACUCAGCUGUGGAGUGGGACCUGCAUGGUCACGGAUAAGGCCUCAUCCAUCCCUCACAUCUAAGCAAACUCCAAAGGAUUUGUGGCUCCUGGCGAAAUGCCCACUUUUAACCAAUAUGCUGAUGUCAGAUAUGCCAGGGGUUUUUUGUGUGUUAUUUAAAGGCAAGCCAAGAGGGAAGUAUGUGUCAUCAGUGCUGAAUCCAGAAUCGUUUGCUUCACACCAAACAACAAACCUGCCACCCCCUGUGGUGUAUGUCGACCUGUUACAAAGCCACUUCUUCCCAGCUGAAGCACAGAGGACUUCAAGCGCUGUUUUAUGCCGACAGCCAUCAGACUUCAGUGUGUACAGAGCUUCCUGCCCCACUGGCCCUAGCCUCAGCCAGCCAGAGUGUGCUGAAGCAGAAUAAUGGUAAAUGCUCUUUCUGCUCUGAGCAAUUCUGUAACUUUGCUUGCCUAAGUAAUAUAUGUUUAAUGUGUAUAGGUCAAUGAAUGUUAAAUAUCCUGCUACAGAAUAUGAUUACAUAAUUCCUUCAGUACAUGUCAUUGUCAGAAAAUGUAUUUCAUGACCAACCAAUUAACACUACUGUCUAUUUGUAUGACUACUUUGGAGGAAAUCGGAAAAGUGAAAAUGUGAAUAUCUGUGUAUCACUUGUGAUAUUUCAACAGUUUUGCCCACAAAUAGGCAAAACUAUUGCCUACAAUUUACACACUUUCUGUGUAAUAUCAAAACAUUUUCAACAGAAUAAAUGACAAACAUAAAGGUU
Molecule: long non-coding RNA, 815 nt
Organism: Xiphophorus couchianus (Monterrey platyfish)
Lineage: Eukaryota; Metazoa; Chordata; Actinopteri; Cyprinodontiformes; Poeciliidae
Exons: 2
Source: RefSeq, a predicted model, not a curated record